CCCCCAGCCAACUUCUUGCUCCCUUUCUCCAACAGCUCCUUGUCUGAUACGGUCAAAAAAAUUGAAUACAUAUUACUUAUCUAACAAGGCACCCUUUUGCCACAGAUGGAUGAUUAAAGUGGCACAGACAACAUAGCCAACUGUACUGAUGAAACAAAUAAUAUCACAAAGCUGUAUUUGUUUUAGAAGGCUCAGAUGUAACUGUCUUUGAGGAUGCAAACCUUCAACCACCAAUGAUAUACAUAUUUCUCAUACUAUUAUAAGAUAGGAGAUUCAAUGAAUGGUGCUUCCUUCAUGGCAGAGAUGUCAACAUGCGAAAUUCAAAUUUAUAAUCAACAUAGAAUCAAUUUGGUUACACAAAUUGUAAUUGAAGCCAUUAUCAUAAAAUUAAUUACUAAUAUAAUUAUUUUUUCCAUAACUUAAAAAGAAUCAACCUAUACGAGGUACCUUUUGGUUGCUUCAUCCCCGCAAUUCAAGCGCCAAUCUCCUUGCUGGGAGGAUAUUUUGAUAAGCUUGAUGUAUUGCAGAGUCUCUGAUGUAAAGAACAGUCAAUAAAUGGGGAGCAUUUCAAAAUGGAGAAUCCCAUGCCUCUAAGGAGUCUAGGAAGGGAAAAAGUUCCUAAAAUAUCAUGCAUGGUAGAUUUUGUGAGAAAUAAAAUUAUUAUUUCAUACUUCAUAAUAUAGCAAUACCGUGAAAAAUAUAUCUCUCUUUUUUCUUUUCUUUUUUUGCAAGUUAGAAAUAAAGCUCUGGCAACUUCUGACUUCAUUAUUUCAUAAUGCAUAACCUUCCUUGUAUUGAAAGGAAAGAAGGUACUUUUAAGCAUGGAAGGAAAAAGAAAAAGAACAAUAUGGCUUUUAAAGAGCACAAAAACAUAUAUUUGCAGUUACACGUAAAUAAAUAAAAGCUACCAUUUUCCCAAAAACUGUAGUAGGAUAAAAUACAUGCAUCAAACAAUAUGGAGAGUUUCAUUGCACAGGAAUACACAACUAAGAGAUGAGAAAACAAUCCUUCUAAUACCACUAGAUUACUUCACAGAAGGAUGUAGCUCAAUCUCAAUCAGAUUAUAUAAUUACUUGCUGGAGACAUAAACGUUGUAACCUCACUUUUUAGAGCAGCAGUUGUUGUACCUCGGUGUGCUGGAUCUACAGAAUGUAGGGUCUCCGUAAUCUUUAAAGCAUCAGAAACACAUCACAUAUAGUGGUCUUCAAAAUUCUAAUGUGUAAAUUGACAAAAUUGGUAAAACAUUGUAUCCA
RNAcentral lists this long non-coding RNA (1253 nucleotides) under Lotus japonicus. RNAcentral describes it as "long non-coding RNA (LJAP_LNC001509)". Lineage: Eukaryota; Viridiplantae; Streptophyta; Magnoliopsida; Fabales; Fabaceae. The record is from RNAcentral.